Molecule: ribosomal RNA, 1521 nt
Filed under: Triticum aestivum (bread wheat)
Lineage: Eukaryota; Viridiplantae; Streptophyta; Magnoliopsida; Poales; Poaceae
Description: partial small subunit ribosomal RNA
Source: RNAcentral
AUGCCGACCGGCCGGCUGUCCUCCAUCUUCACCAGCAAUGCAACCUCCUCCUUCAGGGCUCCUUCGCCACAGCCACGAGCCCCCCUCGCCGCCUUGGCUGCCACCACAGAGCGCGUGUGUGCCGGAACGCUAAGACCGGAGGAGGCGCACCACCUGUUCGACGAAUUGCUGAGCCAAGCCGCCGCCGUCCCGGAACGCGGGCUGAACAACUUUCUUGCCGCACUAGCCCGUGCUCCACCCUCAGCUGCCUGCAGCGAUGGCCCCGGCCUUGCCAUCACCCUCUUCAACCGCAUGUCCCGAGGCGCUGGUGCACAGGUGGUGUCGCCCACGCUCUGUACCUAUUCCAUUCUCAUGGACUGCUGCUGCCGUGCAGGCCGCCCGGACUUGGUGGUUGCCUUCUUUGGCCGCCUCCUCAGAUUGGGGCUGCGCUUGAAUGUCAUCUCCUUCAACAACCUCCUCAAGGGGCUCUGCCAGGUCAAGCGUACAAAUGAGGCUGUGGACUUGUUGCUCCACCGGACACCUGAACUGGACUGUGUGCCUAAUGUCUUCUCGUACAGCAUCGUAAUCAACGGCUGUUUUAAAGAAGGUGAAGUAGACAAAGCGUGCAAUCUCUUCCAUGAGAUGCCCCAACUGGGAGUUCAACCUAAUGUGGUCAUCUACACCUCAAUUAUCGAUGCACUAAGCAAGUGCGGAGCCAUGGACAAGGCAGAAGUGGUCCUUCAGCAAAUGGUUGAUCAAGGCAUUGAACCCAACAUCAGGACAUAUACUAGCCUGAUACAUGGAUAUUCCGCUUCGGGUCAGUGGAAGGCGGCAGCUAGAGUAUUCAAGGAAAUGGUAAGUGUUGGUGUUCUACCAAAUGCUGUCACUUUGAACUCAUUUAUGGAUUCACUUUGCAAGCAUAGAAGGACAAAGGAUGCUAGAGAUAUUUUUGACUCCAUGGCUGCAAAGGGCCAAAAACCUGACAUUUUCUCCUACUCUAUUAUGCUAAAUGGGUAUGCUAAAGAAGGAUACUUCGAGGAUAUGACUGAUCUCUUCAAUUUGAUGGUACUGAAUGGUAUUGUACCUAACCACCAUAUUUUCAACAUACUGAUCAAUGCAUAUGCUAAACGUGGACUGAUGGAUGAGGCUAUGCACAUGUUCGAAGUAAUGAGGCAACAAGGAGUAAACCCAAAUGUAGUUGACUAUGUAGUAGUAAUGGAUUCACUUUGCAAAAUGGGUAGGAUGGAUGCUGCUCUGGACAAAUUUACUCAGAUGGUCAAUCAAGGAGUUUCACCUAACAAAGCUGUUUACCAAUGCCUGGUUCUGGGUUCUUGCUCUCAUGGUCAUUUUGUGAAAGCCAAGGAAUUGAUCUCUGAAGCAAUUAAUAGAGGUCUGUUUUCUAACAGUGUGUUCUUCUAUCCUGUAAUAAACGACCUAUGCAAAGAAGGAAAGGUGAAGGAGGCACAGGAUAUGUUUGACUUCAUUCUAGGUAUUGGUCGGCGGCCUGAUGUGAUUAUGUACAAUUCACUGAUGGAUGGAUAU